Molecule: ribosomal RNA, 442 nt
Filed under: uncultured bacterium
Lineage: Bacteria
Description: partial 16S ribosomal RNA
Rfam family: Bacterial small subunit ribosomal RNA
Source: RNAcentral
CCUACGGGGGGCAGCAGUGGGGAAUAUUGGGCAAUGGGCGCAAGCCUGACCCAGCAACGCCGCGUGAAGGAAGAAGGCUUUCGGGUUGUAAACUUCUUUUGUCAGGGAAGAGUAGAAGACGGUACCUGACGAAUAAGCCACGACUAAAUACGUGCCAGCAGCCGCGGUAAUACGUAGGUGGCAAGCGUUGUCCGGAUUUCCUGGGUGUAAAGGGCGUGUAGCCGGGUUGACAAGUCAGAUGUGAAAUCCUGCGGCUUAACCGCCGAACUGCAUUUGAAACUGUUGAUCUUGAGUACUGGAGAGGCAGAUGGAAUUCCUAGUGUAGCGGUGAAAUGCGUAGAUAUUAGGAGGAACACCAGUGGCGAAGGCGGUCUGCUGGACAGCAACUGACGGUGAGGCGCGAAAGCGUGGGGAGCAAACAGGAUUAGAUACCCGGGUAGUC